AUGACCUCCGGCCGCCCGCUGGCCCGGGGAUCUGCAGCUCUGCAGGCCCCUGGCUCAGGCCCAGGCCGGGAGGCCUCAGGGCUCUGUUCCCCGGGGAGGGGGAAGGGCUUGCCUGGGUCUCCUGGAGCAGAGCCUCGGGUUUUCCUUCUCCCCGGUGGCAGCGCAGGUGCCCCAGCGCCGCGAGGGGACUUCCCGGCGGGCUCGGGAGCACACCGUUCCACCUCCCUUUGCUUCCGCACCCGGCACGCCCCCGUCACGGGGGAGGGGCUGCGCAGCCGCAGGGCGCCCCCGCCCCCCUCAGGGCUCCCCGGGGCUCAGAGGGCGGGCGUGGGGGGUGUGCUCGGGUUGCCAGGGCGACGGCGCGGUUGCCAGUGGAGACGCUCACGCACACAUCCCCCCCGGGGCGUGGAACCUGGGGCUGCCCGGGCUGGGGGCUGCGGGGAGGUCAUGGGCUCUCUGGGUAGUCCCACUGUGUGGGGGGGAGUUCUGGAAGAAGCCCCCGAGCGACCCCUCCCCGCGCUGCCGACAGCGAUGACAGCAGGACUGGCCAGAGGAGCCCAGGCCCGUGCUGAGCAGGCGAUGUCCAAGCAACCAAACCCUCCCCCGCCAGAAACGCCAGGCAUCCGCGUGGCCCUCGCAUGGGGUGAGGGCCCCAGAACACAGGCCUUGGAGGCCCCACUGGCACGAAGCGCCCAGAACAGGCGGAGGGCUCGCGGCGGAGUCGCUGUGGAAGGCUGUGUCUCCUCAGACAUGUUCCUGGGGUUAUUAAUCUCCCCACAUCCUGGUCCAGCGUCCCAAGCCAGGUGGACAUGGAACACAGGCCCAGCUGCGUCAGAUGCUACGAUGGAGGCAUUGGCAGCGUGUUCGUGGAGCAGGAAGUGAUGCAGAAACUGUCAAGCUGGUUUUGUGCAACCAGAGCCACGAACAGGCCACAAGACAGAAGCCGUGGGACCCCGGUGGCUCUGCAUGCGAGUGAGAUGUGCUCUCCCAACACUGCUGCACCCAGAAAGAGGAGUGGUGUGUGCACGCUAACGAUGAGCCAUCUUCAUGGUUCUGUGUUUGGAGUGACAGUAAAUAACCAAGAAAGGGGCCGGCGCUGUGGCGUAGCAGGUAAAGCCUCCGUCUGCAGCGCCAGCAUCCCACAUGGGAGCAGGUUCAAGCCCCGGCUGCUCCACUUCCGAUCCAGCUCUCUGCUAACGCCCUGGGAAAGCAGUAGAAGAUGGCUAAGUCCUUGGGCCCCUGCACCUGCGUGGGAGACCCAGAGAAGCUCCUGGCUCCUAGACUUGGCCUGGCUCAACCCUAGCUGUUUCAGCCAUUUAGGAAAUCAGAGGAUGGAAGAUUCUCUCUAUUUCUCUCUCUCUCUCUCUCUCUCUCUCUCUCUCUCUCUCUCUCUCUAACUCUGCCUUUAAAAUAAAUCAAUUGUUUUUAGAGAAAAUAACA
Molecule: long non-coding RNA, 1440 nt
Filed under: Oryctolagus cuniculus (rabbit)
Lineage: Eukaryota; Metazoa; Chordata; Mammalia; Lagomorpha; Leporidae
Description: lncRNA (ENSOCUG00000031027.1)
Source: RNAcentral